GUUUUUUUUUCAAUUGUAUUUGAUAAUGUAUACUGACCUUUUACCUCGGACCUGAAUUCCAGGUCUCCACAUAUAUAUCAAAUAUAUCAUAGAUAUAAAUAUCAAAUUUUUAAGUGUUAUAUUAACUUCCAGCACUAUAAAGUAGUCCUAUUUACUCACAAUCAAACACUAUAAUUUUUUAAAAUCGUGAGAGGAGUGGUUUGGCUAUUGCCAUGUUCAGCUCUCAUAAAAUGUUAUAAACUGUUCUUAUAAGAUGGAAAUUUCUAUCAGAACAUUAACAAUUUAUUCUGGGGUUCUGGAAGGCAAAGCUCCAGGUUUAAAGUUUAAAUCUCACCAAAUAACCAAAAUCAAAUUUUCUUUUUCUGUUUUUUUUACCAGGCUAACGGUUUGUGGUCUUCACAGGGAUGUAAUAGAAAAACAUAAGACAUAUUUUCCCAUAGCCUUUGUUGGGAGAUGUUUCCAUGGCUUAUGCAAGGCUUCAGCUUGUCUAUCAUUAAUGAUUUAAUGACCUUUCGUUUCUUAUAUAUCUGGACGGUUUCUGCUAUGUACAGUUCUUCUUUGUUGACUCUUUUUAUAGCUUUCCUCUUGUGCCAUCUGAUGUCUGUUAUUCUCAUAGGCUGUCUUAGCCAAUACUGUAUUUAGAUUUCUCCUCUGUCUUUCUUAUGCUCUAUUAAUCUUUCCUUUAAGUUCCUCAAGGUGGCCCCUAUAUAUUGCUCUGUAUUCCUACUAUCUCUGUUUACUGUCUGGAUACUAUAUACUCUCAUUCCUAGAUCUCUCUUGUAAUGGUCUUUCACAUUCCUGAGAAGGUUGAAAACCGUUGGGGGUCUUUUAAAAGCCGCUUUUUUCUUUCCUUAACCGUAGAACUGCCGCAAAAAAUUACGUCUACUGCGCAGC
RNAcentral lists this long non-coding RNA (894 nucleotides) under Androctonus crassicauda. The record is from RNAcentral. Lineage: Eukaryota; Metazoa; Arthropoda; Arachnida; Scorpiones; Buthidae.